UAUCAAUAAGCGGAGGAAAAGAAACUAACAAGGAUUCCCCUAGUAACUGCGAGUGAAGCGGGAAAAGCUCAAAUUUAAAAUCUGGCGGUCUCUGGCCGUCCGAGUUGUAAUCUAGAGAAGUAAUGCCCGUGCUGGACCGUGUAUAAGUCUCCUGGGAUGGGGCGUCAUAGAGGGUGAGAAUCCCGUCUUUGACACGGACUACCAGUGCAUUGUGGUAUGCUCUCAAAGAGUCGAGUUGUUUGGGAAUGCAGCUCAAAAUGGGUGGUAAAUUCCAUCUAAAGCUAAAUAUUGGCGAGAGACCGAUAGCGAACAAGUACCGUGAGGGAAAGAUGAAAAGAACUUUGGAAAGAGAGUUAAACAGUACGUGAAAUUGCUGAAAGGGAAACGCUUGAAGUCAGUCGCGUUGGCCGGGGAUCAGCCUUGCUUUUGCAUGGUGUACUUUCUGGUUGACGGGUCAGCAUCAAUUUUGACCGCUGGAAAAAGACCUGGGGAAUGUGGCAGCUUCGGCUGUGUUAUAGCCCCUAGUCGCAUACAGUGGUUGGGAUUGAGGAACUCAGCACGCCGCAAGGCCGGGUUUCGACCACGUUCGUGCUUAGGAUGCUGGCAUAAUGGCUUUAAGCGACCCGUCUUGAAACACGGACCAAGGAGUCUAACAUGCCUGCGAGUAUUUGGGUGGAAAACCCAAGUGCGUAAUGAAAGUGAAAGUUGAGAUCCCUGUCGUGGGGAGCAUCGACGCCCGGACCAGAACUUUUGGGACGGAUCCGCGGUGGAGCAUGUAUGUUGGGACCCGAAAGAUGGUGAACUAUGCCUGAAUAGGGUGAAGCCAGAGGAAACUCUGGUGGAGGCUCGUAGCGAUUCUGACGUGCAAAUCGAUCGUCAAAUUUGGGUAUAGGGGCGAAAGACUAAUCGAACAUCUAGUAGCUGGUCCC
RNAcentral lists this ribosomal RNA (929 nucleotides) under Agaricus sp. RNAcentral describes it as "partial large subunit ribosomal RNA". It matches the Rfam family "Eukaryotic large subunit ribosomal RNA", at positions 41 to 958 of the family's 3401-position model. Lineage: Eukaryota; Fungi; Basidiomycota; Agaricomycetes; Agaricales; Agaricaceae. The record is from RNAcentral.